RNAcentral lists this small RNA (356 nucleotides) under Eubacteriales bacterium. RNAcentral's name for it is "transfer-messenger RNA". It matches the Rfam family "transfer-messenger RNA". From Rfam's summary of the family: Bacterial tmRNA, also known as 10Sa RNA or SsrA, is named for its dual tRNA and mRNA-like properties. Its role is to liberate the mRNA from a stalled ribosome. To accomplish this part of the tmRNA is used as a reading frame that ends in a translation stop signal. Lineage: Bacteria; Bacillati; Bacillota; Clostridia; Eubacteriales. The record is from RNAcentral.
GGGGAUGCAAUGGUUUCGACGGGGGUUUUGAAGAUAGAGAUAGCCAUUCGUAGUUGGGAGCUACGUUAAAAGCUCAAAACUUUUUAAAAAUAAACGACAAAGAACAAUUUGCGUUUGCAGCUUAAUUAAAAGCUGCCGUUAGCCUUUAGUAACUCACUGCUAAAGAAUCUAGCGUCGAACUUGUGAGCAACUUUGUUUUGUAAGCUUUGCCAAAACAAAAGAAUUUAUGAAGCUACUAAGCGUAAUCGUUUGUUGGUUGAUAGUUAUGCUUAGGAAUUUUUUUCAAUCAACUGUAAUGGGAGAAGUCUUUAUUGACGGGCUUUCGGACAGGAGUUCGAUUCUCCUCAUCUCCAUCU